RNAcentral lists this ribosomal RNA (466 nucleotides) under uncultured Pseudomonadaceae bacterium. RNAcentral's name for it is "bacterial SSU rRNA". It matches the Rfam family "Bacterial small subunit ribosomal RNA", at positions 338 to 795 of the family's 1533-position model. Lineage: Bacteria; Pseudomonadati; Pseudomonadota; Gammaproteobacteria; Pseudomonadales; Pseudomonadaceae. The record is from RNAcentral.
CCUACGGGCGGCUGCAGUGGGGAAUAUUGGACAAUGGGGGAAACCCUGAUCCAGCCAUGCCGCGUGUGUGAAGAAGGUCUUCGGAUUGUAAAGCACUUUAAGUUGGGAGGAAGGGCUUACGGUUAAUACCCGCUAAGUUUUGACGUUACCAACAGAAUAAGCACCGGCUAACUUCGUGCCAGCAGCCGCGGUAAUACGAAGGGUGCAAGCGUUAAUCGGAAUUACUGGGCGUAAAGCGCGCGUAGGUGGUUUGUUAAGUUGGAAGUGAAAGCCCCGGGCUCAACCUGGGAAUUGCUUUCAAAACUAGCAGGCUAGAGUACAGUAGAGGGUAGUGGAAUUUCCUGUGUAGCGGUGAAAUGCGUAGAUAUAGGAAGGAACAUCAGUGGCGAAGGCGACUACCUGGACUGAUACUGACACUGAGGUGCGAAAGCGUGGGGAGCAAACAGGCUUAGAUACCCCAGUAGUC